RNAcentral lists this long non-coding RNA (652 nucleotides) under Fragaria vesca (wild strawberry). Its description in RNAcentral is "long non-coding RNA (FVES_LNC000215)". The record is from RNAcentral. Lineage: Eukaryota; Viridiplantae; Streptophyta; Magnoliopsida; Rosales; Rosaceae.
CUCUGUAUGCCCCCUAUGUUUCUAUAAUCAAGGUGAAGCAAUUGUAGUGGUAGUAUCCAUCUAUUUUUUUUUUUGGGACCAAAUUUGUAGUCUGCAUUUACUUUCAAAUUGUGAAGAUCAUACUCCCACAUAGUACGGUGUGAUUAUGUUUAACCUCUUGCUUCCUGAAGCGCCUAUCAGUGGCAAUUAGCUCCAGAACUUACAUCAUAGGCGCCUGCAACUUCGUGUACCGUUGUUGUGCUAUCUGAUAGUGGCUAGACAUAGUACAGUAGGAUUACAUGUGGGGAAGUUAGACAGGAGUCGAUUUAUCUGGACAUAGUAGCUCUUGCAAGUUAGACAGGAGUUGAUUUAUCUGGAAAAAUUAAAGAAAAGAUAGGAGUUGGUUUUACUCUGUUGAUGGUUAUGUUCUUACAUUCUACCACCAUGACUUUAUGCAGGAUUCGACAGAGUACAAGAGAAGGGUUCGCCAGCAGGCCAAGCAAUACCCACCUCUGGUCUAAUGCAAAACUGGGGUUGUAGCCCCAGACACUGCUGGUGCUUUGGUAAAUGUCAGUUGCCGCCUUUUGUUUGAAGCAUGUUAUGUCAAACAUCGUUGUUUGGAAGUGGUAGUUAGCAUCAUGUGUAGACUACGUGGUUAAGCUAUUUUCCCUGU